CCAUUAGUCAAACGACUCUCGGCAACGGAUAUCUCGGCUCUUGCAUCGAUGAAGAACGUAGCGAAAUGCGAUACUUGGUGUGAAUUGCAGAAUCCCGUGAACCAUCGAGUUUUUGAACGCAAGUUGCGCCUGAGACCUUUAGGUUGAGGGCACGUCUGCCUGGGCAUCACACAC
This 174-nucleotide ribosomal RNA is filed under the name Ranunculus pinnatus. RNAcentral describes it as "5.8S ribosomal RNA". The stretch from base 14 to 169 matches the Rfam family "5.8S ribosomal RNA". From Rfam's summary of the family: 5.8S ribosomal RNA (5.8S rRNA) is a component of the large subunit of the eukaryotic ribosome. The record is from RNAcentral. Lineage: Eukaryota; Viridiplantae; Streptophyta; Magnoliopsida; Ranunculales; Ranunculaceae.